CCGAGUUUACAACUCCAAACCCCUGUGAACAUACCUAUAUGUUGCCUCGGCGGAUCAGCCCGCGCCCCGUAAAACGGGACGGCCCGCCGCAGGAUCCACAAACUCUGUUUUUAUUGUAACUUCUGAGUAACAAAACAAAUAAAUCA
This 146-nucleotide unclassified non-coding RNA is filed under the name soil metagenome. Its description in RNAcentral is "partial internal transcribed spacer 1". The record is from RNAcentral.